AAUCUAACUAUUCACUUGAUGUGGAAUUUUGCAUGCAAUUUUUAAUUCUAGUCUUCUAAAUGCUCAAGAAUUUUUAGCCCAAUCCAACUUAUAGAUUAUGUGGAAACCUCCAAAAAAUGUACCAAUGUCACUCGGCUACCAACUUGAAAAGCAAAGUAGAAAUCCGAGCAAUGAUUUCUCCUUCUCCAACUAUUAACUUUGUCUCAAAUCUGGUAUGUAGCUUGAUCUUUAAGUCUUCUAAUACUAUUCUAAUUUUUAGCUUAAUCCAAUUGAUAGAUCUUCAGAUAUCAUAGAAACCCUACCCAUCUUCAAACUGCCACCUUCUAAAACCCUCUUGUGCUAAAAACUAGAUAUCUCUUAAUCACUUCGUUAUAUUAUCACAAAAUUUUGUAUUCACUUAGUAUACCU
This 408-nucleotide long non-coding RNA is filed under the name Physcomitrium patens. RNAcentral describes it as "long non-coding RNA (PPAT_LNC009884)". Lineage: Eukaryota; Viridiplantae; Streptophyta; Bryopsida; Funariales; Funariaceae. The record is from RNAcentral.